UUGAGUAUGCUGCUUGAUCCGUCACUGUCAGGCCGCGCGCAGUUAUGCAUGCGCCGUCCGCUCCUCUGCUGGGAAGCUGCAUGCGCCGCUUUAAUGCGCAGACCGCAUCAGGUUGUCAGAGAGCGUCUGGGAAGGACAGGACAUGUCGUCUUUCCUCCUGAUGGGAAUGCCGUGGUUCACAACACUGCUAACUCAUUUAUAAAACCUGGAUUUAAAGGUCAUGUGGUUUUUCUUUCUUGCAUCCCAAUUUAAUGCAGAGACUAGAAAGCCAUUCAUAGACUGAUUCCUGUGAAGAGAAUGUUUUUCUUUAAUUUAUGGAAGAAAAUGUAUUUUUUAUUUUUUAUAAUAUUUAUUUUAUUCUCUUCUAUUAUAUUCUGUUCUAUUUCAUUUUAAUGUAUUUUAUUUUAAUCUGUUUUUUUUAUUUUAUUUUAAUCUGUUUUUAAUUUAAUUUAAUUUAAUUUAAUUUAAUUUUGUUUUAUUUUAUUUUAUUUUAUUAUUUAUUUCAUUUUAUUUUAUUAUUCAUAGCACGGACUACUAGGCUGUCCAAAAUAGGCAUCUUAUAUAGUUUUAUGGAAUAUUUGGAAUAUAAAAUAGGCAGUUCUAUAUGAUUAUGUAAUUUUGCAGCAAAAUAACUAUAUCAUGAUACUAUUACUGUGAUUUAUUUUUAUAAAACUAACAUAUUGUUAUCUGGAAAACUAAACUCUGCUCUUUUAAGGCACAGACAGCACCAGCUUUCUUUCUCAUUCGUCUGAAGAACAAACCGUCUUCGGCUUUGAUAAGGUCCUGUCCGGGGCGAGUCCGCCCAUCAUCUGGAGGGGGGAGGGUUCGGAUCUCAAACCACGCGGUCCUCGGAUCAAACAGGUGUUACUCCUUCACCUGUGAGGCGAGAAUCAAAGACUGGCUUUAUCUCCAAGAGCUGCAGAGGAGGCCCGGCUCAUGAGACGCACACACAGGUUCAAAAGGAGCGCGAGAAGAAAGAGCAGAAGCCGCCUCUCGUCCUCUGAGGAUGUGAGGAUGUGCAUUCCUCUAACAAUCGCAGGAGUGCCGAUGCUGCUCAUGCCCUUACAGGAGACAUUUUAAGGGCUCAUAUGAAAGAAAACUCACAUACAGUAUCUCACAGAAGUGAGUACACCCUUCACAUUUUUGCUAAUAUUUUAUUAUAUCUUUUCAUGUGACAACACUGAAGAAAUGAUGCUUUGCUACAAUGUAAAGUAGUGAGUGUACAGCUUGUAUAACAGUGUAAAUUUGCUGUCCCCUCAAAAUAACUCAACACACAGCCAUUAAUGUCUAAACCGCUGGCCACAAAAGUGAGUACACCCCUAAGUGAAAAUGUCCAAAUUGGGCCCUAUUAGCCAUUUUCUCUCCCCGGUGUCAUGUGACUCAUUAGUGUUACAAGGUCUCCGGUGUGAAUGAGGAGCAGGUGUGUUAAAUUUGGUGUUAUCGCUCUCACUGUCUCAUACUGGUCACUGGAAGUUCAACAUGGCACCUCAUGGCAAAGAACUCUCUGAGGAUCUGAAAAAAAGAAUUAUUGCUCUACAUAAAGAUGGCAUAGGCUAUAAGAAGAUUGCCAAGACCCUGAAACUGAGCUGCAGCACGGUGGCCAAGACCAUACAGCGGUUUAACAGGACAGGUUCCACUCAGAACAGGCCUCGCCAUGGUCGACCAAAGAAGUUGAGUGCACGUGCUCAGCGUCAUAUCCAGAGGUUGUGUUUGGGAAAUAGACAUAUGAGUGCUGCCAGCAUUGCUGCAGAGGUUGAAGGGGUGGGGGGUCAGCCUGUCAGUGCUCAGACCAUACGCCGCACACUGCAUCAAAUUGGUCUGCAUGGCUGUCAUCCCAGAAGGAAGCCUCUUCUAAAGAUGGUGCACAAGAAAGCCCGCAAACAGUUUGCUGAAGACAAGCAGACUAAGGACGUGGAUUACUGGAACCAUGUCCUGUGGUCUGAUGAGACCAAGAUAAACUUAUUUGGUUCAGAUGGUGUCAAGCGUGUGUGGCGGCAAUCAGGUGAGGAGUACAAAGACAAGUGUGUCUUGCCUACAGUUGAGCAUGGUGGUGGGAGUGUCAUGGUCUGGGGCUGCAUGAGUGCUGCCGGCACUGGGGAGCUACAGUUCAUUGAGGGAACCAUGAAUGCCAACAUGUACUGUGACAUACUGAAGCAGAGCAUGAUCUUCAAUGAAAGGGUAAAAAGAUACAACUUUAACUUAGAUUUAAACUUAUAUACGGAGGAUACAGAUCUAACAGAUAAAGGAAGACCUCACAACAUCACCUCUCAACCUCAAUCUUGAUCUCUGAUAGGACAGGGUAUUAUUAUCUGUGGAUUGCAAGCAUCUGACCGGCUUAUUCAAGUUUAAAAGAAGUGCCUAACCAAUUAGGGAUUUAAAAACAAGCAACAGUACUUUAAAUUCAACUCUAUAAUGCACUGACAACCAAUUGAGAGACAUUAAAAUUGGACCAAUAUGUUCACAUUUACGGACCCCAGUUAAAAAUCUGCUUCGUUUUUGAACCAUUUGAAGCCGUGACAUAGAAGACUGGGAUAUUCCAAUAUAUAAGGAAUUACUGUAGUCCAAACCAGAUAAGAUGAAAACAUGUAUGACUCUUUCAAGAUCUUUAAAGACUUAACUUAAGACAGAUGUUUUAAUUGACAGAACCUUGACUUAACUACUGUAUUAAUAUGUUGGUCAAACUUAAGCAAGGAAUCAAAAAUAACUCCCAAAUUUUUCAGUCGGUUUGAUGUUGGAAUUUAAGUUGCCAGAAUAAAAAUGUGAUUUUUCCUUUACCCACAGAGGGCCCAAAAACAAUUCUUCCACUGUACUCUCAUUUAAGUGCAAAAAGUUUAAAGACAUCCAAAAUCCUAUAUCAGCUAAACAUGCAAGCAGGGUUUCUAAACCUUUCUUGUCAUUAUGUUUCAAAGGCAAAUAGAUGUGGGUGUCAUCUGCAUAAAAAUGAAAAGACACCCCAUGCUUCCUAAAAGUUGAACUUAAUGGAAACAUGUACAGAGAAAACAAGGUAGGACCCAAAAUAGAGCCUUGAGGAACACCACAGGUUAGAGGGGCUACGGAUGAAACAGAUCAUCCAAUACCUACUGAAAUGGUUCUACUACUAAGAUUAGAUUUAAACCAGCUAAAAGGAGAUGCCCACACACUGUUAAAGGCGCAAAAUACGAAUGCUAAAUUAGCAAGUGAUUCCUUACCAAGAGGCUUUGCUUUUCAAAAUCGGCACAUGAAAAGGCAUUUUAGUAACUCGUGCUUCAAUUGUUGUUUAGCAUCUUCUCAGCUUCACUGCAGGUGAGUUUUUUUUAGCCCAUAUAAGCAUUGAAUACUGUUUCUACUUUUUAUACCAGUUCAUUUGUUAAUGUAUUUUAAUAUUUUAUGUAUAUCUGUUCUUUUAAGGCACCCAGAACACGGAGCUACGAUGGCUAUUUUAAUUUUUUUUAUUUAGUUUUAUAUAUAUUUAUAUGUAAUAUUUGCAGCUAUAUAUAGUCUACACUAGACUAUCCAAAAACAUUUUCACUUCACUUCACUUCACCUACUGGACAAAUGGACCACUGAAAAAAUGGACAUGCCUGUAAGAGAUUUUAAGGACCUGAACGAAGCUUGUGGCGUAAUCAAAUGAAACUUCAGGAAACCACAUCAAACAUCUCAGUGCCCAGCUGCUAAAUCACUGAGGAACAGAAAGCAGGACGAUGUGGGUUUGUGAAUGCGACCCUCUGUUGUGGUGGUGUGCUGCAGGCAGAUGUUUGUCGUGUUGCGCCGUCCUCCUGUGUGGCCCGUCGGUACACAGAUACUGCGGAGAAACAGACACGCACAGAUGGCGAGGAGCGUGAGGAGAGUCCAUCAGCCGCUGCAGCAGUUUCAAGUUACAGUUUUCAACAAAUUCUGCCGAAGAUGAUUGAUUGCUGGAGUCCAUGUAAGAGCUCAAUCAGCCCAGCAGUGAGCGCAGUCGAGUCUGGACUUGUUGAUUAACCGGAGGGCCGGAGCUGCGGGGCGGUGGACGCAUUAUGUUGGAGUCAUGUGGAUUAAAGCUGAGCUGAUCUGAUAUGAGGCCGAUCCUACAGACGGAAGAGAGCACUUUAUUGGCUUUAUCAUCACAAACCACCGGCUACACCGCAAUCAGAUCAAUCUGCUGUUCUCAUCCCUCCUCUACAGAGAUCCUACAGACCUGAGGAAAGGUUUAUUGCUCAGAGGUUGUGCUUCAUACGGAGAGCAGCUCAGGUCAUUUGACCUUGGGAGAAUUUGAUGAGAAAUGUUUGAGUUCAUAUUGAGAUCUCUGACUUUUGAUUGCAGACUUGUUGAGAUCUCUUGUGAACCUCUAGACGAGAAAUAUGUAAUCUUGUUCUCUUUUGCAUGAAAUGAUAUUCACAACCUGUUUUACUUCCAGUUUUCCUCCACUGACACCAUUUUGAGGAGGCUUUUUGAUCGGCAUGUGGAGCAUCUCGUUGUAUCCCAAUGGUAAUGGCGAUAUUAUUGCUGUUAUUUCUUUUACAUCGAGUUUUGUAUUGUAUAAAAACCCUGCUGCCUCCCUCACUGGAAUGAAUAAAAUAUCCAUUGUCAUUGUCUUCAGCCACAGGCAACAUGGUGAAGCUCUGAAUCAAAAAACACGUUUAUCUGUUUUUAUUAAACCUCUGUAGCCAACAUCCCA
Ctenopharyngodon idella (grass carp) is the source of this 4636-nucleotide long non-coding RNA. RefSeq lists it as uncharacterized. The transcript has 4 exons. The record is from RefSeq and is a predicted model, not a curated record. Lineage: Eukaryota; Metazoa; Chordata; Actinopteri; Cypriniformes; Xenocyprididae.